GCGGAAUCACGGUGCAAUAGCAGUACCUAAAAAAUUAAAAAAUUAGAAAAUAAAAUUCGUAAAAGUAAAAGGGAGUUUCGAUUUUUGGGUGCUUAAGGGGGUUUUAGAGCUUGAUUUUUUUUUUUUUAAGAGGAAGGCCUUGGAAAAGGUAAGAACAUAGGGGAAAAUAGGGACCAUCGAAGCGGUGGAGAUAGGCUUUUUGGAUCUUGGCAACUGUGGGCUUCAAAGCUAGAUCUAGAGUUUUUGGAAGAAUUUUGGGCAAAACUAUGGUCGAAAAUAAAAAGGGAAGGUCGAAAGGAAUCUAGAGCGCUUUCACAUAUUUUUUGACACCCAUGGGUGGUGGUCAAUGGCGGAGGUGGCGACGCAAACAGCGGGGCUACAAUUCGUCUGAAUCUGGGGGUUUAGUUUUUUUUAAGAAAGAUUAAAUUUUUA
RNAcentral lists this long non-coding RNA (432 nucleotides) under Durio zibethinus. RNAcentral describes it as "long non-coding RNA (DZIB_LNC001622)". Lineage: Eukaryota; Viridiplantae; Streptophyta; Magnoliopsida; Malvales; Malvaceae. The record is from RNAcentral.